GCGGCGGACGGGUGAGUAACACGUGGGCAACCUGCCCUGCAGACUGGGAUAACUUCGGGAAACCGGAGCUAAUACCGGAUAACACCGAAAACCGCAUGGUUUUCGGUUGAAAGGCGGCUUUUAGCUGUCACUGCAGGAUGGGCCCGCGGCGCAUUACCUAGUUGGUGAGGUAACGGCUCACCAAGGCGACGAUGCGUAGCCGACCUGAGAGGGUGACCGGCCACACUGGGACUGAGACACGGCCCAGACUCCUACGGGAGGCAGCAGUAGGGAAUCUUCCGCAAUGGACGAAAGUCUGACGGAGCAACGCCGCGUGAGCGAAGAAGGUCUUCGGAUCGUAAAGCUCUGUUGUCAGGGAAGAACAAGUACCGUUCGAACAGGGCGGUACCUUGACGGUACCUGACGAGGAAGCCACGGCUAACUACGUGCCAGCAGCCGCGGUAAUAC
This 447-nucleotide ribosomal RNA is filed under the name Aeribacillus sp. J19D012. Its description in RNAcentral is "bacterial SSU rRNA". It matches the Rfam family "Bacterial small subunit ribosomal RNA", at positions 95 to 526 of the family's 1533-position model. The record is from RNAcentral. Lineage: Bacteria; Bacillati; Bacillota; Bacilli; Caryophanales; Bacillaceae.